GGACUACAAGGGUUUCUAAUCCCGUUUGCUCCCCUGGCUUUCGCGCCUCAGCGUCAGUAGAGGUCCAGCAGUGCGCUUUCGCCACCGGCGUUCCUUCCGAUAUCAACGCAUUUCACCGCUCCACCGGAAGUUCCCACUGCCCCUACCUCCCUCGAGGCUCCCAGUAUCCAAGGCACUUCCCCAGUUGAGCUGGGGGCUUUCACCCCGGACUUGAGAACCCGCCUACGCGCCCUUUAAGCCCAGUGAUUCCGAACAACGUUCGCACGGUUCGUCUUACCGCGGCUGCUGGCAC
RNAcentral lists this ribosomal RNA (292 nucleotides) under uncultured Planctomycetota bacterium. RNAcentral's name for it is "uncultured planctomycete partial 16S ribosomal RNA". Lineage: Bacteria; Pseudomonadati; Planctomycetota. The record is from RNAcentral.